UCGAGCGGACCGAUGGGAGCUUGCUCCCUGAGGUUAGCGGCGGACGGGUGAGUAACACGUGGGUAACCUGCCUGUAAGACUGGGAUAACUCCGGGAAACCGGGGCUAAUACCGGAUGCUUGAUUGAACCGCAUGGUUCAAUCAUAAAAGAUGGCUUCGGCUAUCACUUACAGAUGGACCCGCGGCGCAUUAGCUAGUUGGUGAGGUAACGGCUCACCAAGGCGACGAUGCGUAGCCGACCUGAGAGGGUGAUCGGCCACACUGGGACUGAAACACGGCCCAGACUCCUACGGGAGGCAGCAGUAGGGAAUCUUCCGCAAUGGACGAAAGUCUGACGGAACAACGCCGCGUGAGUGAUGAAGGUUUUCGGAUCGUAAAACUCUGUUGUUAGGGAAGAACAAGUACCGUUCGAACAGGGCGGUACCUUGACGGUACCUAACCAGAAAGCCACGGCUAACUACGUGCCAGCAGCCGCGGUAAUACGUAGGUGGCAAGCGUUGUCCGGAAUUAUUGGGCGUAAAGCGCGCGCAGGCGGUUUCUUAAGUCUGAUGUGAAAGCCCCCGGCUCAACCGGGGAGGGUCAUUGGAAACUGGGGAACUUGAGUGCAGAAGAAGAGAGUGGAAUUCCACGUGUAGCGGUGAAAUGCGUAGAGAUGUGGAGGAACACCAGUGGCGAAAGCGACUCUCUGGUCUGUAACUGACGCUGAAGCGCGAAAGCGUGGGGAGCGAACAGGAUUAGAUACCCUGGUAGUCCACGCCGUAAAACGAUGAGUGCUAAGUGU
Molecule: ribosomal RNA, 780 nt
Filed under: Bacillus aerius
Lineage: Bacteria; Bacillati; Bacillota; Bacilli; Caryophanales; Bacillaceae
Description: bacterial SSU rRNA
Rfam family: Bacterial small subunit ribosomal RNA
Source: RNAcentral